Molecule: ribosomal RNA, 1486 nt
Filed under: uncultured Bordetella sp.
Lineage: Bacteria; Pseudomonadati; Pseudomonadota; Betaproteobacteria; Burkholderiales; Alcaligenaceae
Description: partial 16S-23S ribosomal RNA intergenic spacer
Rfam family: Bacterial small subunit ribosomal RNA
Source: RNAcentral
GGUUUGAUUAUGGCUCAGAUUGAACGCUGGCGGGAUGCUUUACAUGCAAAGUCGAACGGCAGCACGGACUUCGGUCUGGUGGCGAGUGGCGAACGGGUGAGUAAUGUAUCGGAACGUGCCUAGUAGCGGGGGAUAACUACGCGAAAGCGUAGCUAAUACCACAUACGCCCUUGAGGAAAAGCGGGGACCUUCGGGCCUCGCACUAUUGAAGCGGCCGAUAUCGGAUUAGCUAGUUGGUGGGGUAACGGCUCACCAAGGCGACGAUCCGUAGCUGGUUUGAGAGGACGACCAGCCACACUGGGACUGAGACACGGCCCAGACUCCUGCUGAGGAGAGGCAGCAGUGGGGAAUUUUGGACAAUGAGGAAACCCUGAGUCCAGCCAUCCCGCGUGUGCGAUGAAGGCCUUCGGGUUGUAAGCACUUUUGGCAGGAAAGGAAACGGCACGGGAUAAUACCCCGUGCAACUGACAAUGCACCGUGCAGAAUAAGCACCGGCUAACUACGUGCCAGCAGCCGCGGUAAUACGUAGAGGUGCAAGCGUUAAUCAGGUUGCUGGGCGUAAAGCGUGCGCAGGCGGUUCGGAAAGAAAAGAUGUGAAAUCCCAGAGCUUAACUUUGGAACUGCAUUUUUAACUACCGAGCUAGAGUGUGUCAGAGGAGGUGGAAUUUCACCCGUGUAGCAGUGAAAUGCGUAGAUAUGCGGAGGGAACACCGAUGGCGGCAGCCUCCUGGGAUAACACUGACGCUCAUGCACGAAAGCUGUUAAGAACCAAACAGGAUUAGAUACCUGGUAGUCCACGCCUAAACGAUGUCAACUAGCUGUUGGGGCCUUCGGGCCUUGGUAGAGGCGCAGCUAACGCGUGAAGUUGACCGCCUGGGAAGUACGGUCACCAAGAUUAAAACUCAAAGGAAUUGACGGGGACCCGCACAAGCGGUGGAUGAUGUGGAUUAAUUCGAUGCAACGCGAAAAACCUUACCUACCCUUGACAUGUCUGGAAUCCGAAGAGAUUUGGGAGUGCUCGCAAGAGAACGGAACACAGGUGCUGCAUGGCUGUCGUCAGCUCGUGUCGUGAGAUGUUGGGUUAAGUCCCGCAACGAGCGCAACCCUUGUCAUUAGUUGCUACGAAGGGCACUCUAAUGGACGCGGUGACAAACCGGAGGAAGGUGGGGAUGACGUCAAGUCCUCAUGGCCCUUAUAGGUAGGGCUUCACACGUCAUACAAUGGUCGGGACAGAGGGUCGCCAACCCGCGAGGAGCCAAUCCCAGAGAAACCCGAUCGUAGUCCGGAUCGCAGUCUGCAACUCGACUGCGUGAAGUCGGAAUCGCUAGUAAUCGCGGAUCAGCAUGUCGCGGUGAAUACGUUCCCGGGUCUUGUACACACCGCCCGUCACACCAUGGGAGUGGGUUUUUGCAAGUAGUUAGCCUAACCGUAAGGAGGGCGAUUACCACGGUAAGUUCAUGACUGAAGUGAAGUCGUAACAAGGUAA